RNAcentral lists this unclassified non-coding RNA (2767 nucleotides) under Hevea brasiliensis (rubber tree). The record is from RNAcentral. Lineage: Eukaryota; Viridiplantae; Streptophyta; Magnoliopsida; Malpighiales; Euphorbiaceae.
AGGAAACGUCUACUUAAUUUUACAUAUACAGGUUAAUACAAUUGGCUAUCUUUAUUAAUGAAUUGAAACGAUCAUUCAUAGUCUAAACAAGCUAUGAAAGUUGAUUAGUAGGUUGGCAGUGGUCACUGCUACCCAGAACAAUAUGUACAACAUGUUCAUGAAAAGUUUUAUAAGUUACAAAGACAAGUUACGUGAUUAAGCUACAUGUAUAUGAUCAUUGCCUUUGCAAGUUUUCUCAUGCGCGAAAUCCCCAGAAUGCUGCAUAGAAUUCUUUUUGCAGAUGCUGCUACGGAAACUGAUGAUCAUGUCGUGUGAUAUUCAUUUCACUUUGUCAUUGCCUAAGUUUGAGUUAGGAGAAUCAAAGGAAAAUAGUUCACUAUCACUAGAGCUAUAUGAUCCGUAUCCCUUUGUAGAGUUUUGAACAUAACCAUCUUGAGGACUACUAGACGCAUUGAACUGUGGAGCAUCUGCAUGUCCGUCUCCAAGUGAUGGUAGAAAUUGUACAGUUCUCGAAUCCACUGCUACACUCUCCAAUUUUAUCAUCUCUAUCCUUUGAAUAGCUUCUCUUAGAUCUAACCGUUGCACAGGAUUACUUGCAGCACAAAGAGCUCCUAUGUGGAUAAGCUGCCUCAUCUCCCCAACUGAAUUUGAGGAACUUGCAAUUUCUGGAUCAAGCAUGUCGUAUUCUUUCCCCUCAGAAAUUUUAGUUUCCGCCCAUUGGACUAGAUCAAUCCCACCUUUGCCAUUGUUAAGAUAUUGAGAGGGAUAUUUUCCAGUGAGGAUUUCAAGAAUGAUUAGUCCUAAACAGUAUACGUCACAUUUAGGAGAUACCCCAAAUUGUGUAGCUUCUGGGGCCUUAUAGGCAAUUAGAGCUUGUCCUACAACUGAGGGGUUGGCCAGUGUAUUGUAUCCAAAAUCUGAAAGCAAUGGUUCAUUAUCAGGACUAAGGAGGACAUUGCUUGAUUUGAGAUUGCCGUGGGGUAAGGCACAGGAAGCAAGUUCAGUAUGAAGAUAACCCAACCCUCUAGCAAUUCCUUGGACAAUCUUGAGACGGGUAGGCCAAUUGAGCUCAGAAUGUGAGGCUCCCUUGUCACCUGAAAUAUUAUCUACUUUUUAACAGAUUCAUAAAUGUCAUGGAAAAGAUAAUAAUCAUGAGAAAUGCAAACAUAUUCCUUUGUGGCAAGCUAGAUUGACAGGUAAAUUCACAAGUAACAGAAAAAGAAAUUAUAUCGAAAGUGCAUAGUUCAUGGAAAGAACUGAAGAAGUUCAAUAUGUACCGUGCAACAAAUAAAGCAAACUUCCUUUAGGUAUGUACUCGUAGAUCAACAGCUUCUCAUCCUUCCGAAAAUGAAAAGCCAAUGGUGGCAAAAUGUUAGCAUGCUUUAGCCUUCCAAGCAUUCUCAUCUCUGCAUCAAAUCCAUCUCUUCCCAAUGCAUUCAUUUCUCUCAAUCUCUUAACCACCACUGCCACACCAUUAGCCAACAGAGCUUUAUAUGAAGAUCCCAAUCCCCCAUUUCCAAGCACUUCUGCAGCAGCCUUCAUCAAAUCUGUUAGCCCAAAAACACCCUUUUCAUUAUUCAUAACUACUAAUUCACCUACACCGCCUUUGGCACUACUAGGUCCUUUGCGAGUUGAUCCUGGUUUUUUGGUUAAUUCCAUUUCCUUCUGUCUAACUGGCAUCGAAAUUUGCACUUCUACUGCCUCAACUGCCUCAUCAUCAGUAUUGUUUUGUACACCAGCUUCUAAAUCAUCUUCUUUCCUCCUCAUUUUAAAUAUUAUCACAGCUGCAACACAAAGCAACAUGACAGCCAAUGUUAUAAUCCCUGCACCUCUCUUCAUAAAGUUACUAGCAUCGUUCUUAGAAAUAUUCAUAGGAAUGGUUUUUGCAAAGACCCCUGGUGCUACUGCUUCAGUCGCGGCAUUACACUCUUUACCAAUCUUCUCUCCGCAAAGGUCAGCAUUUCCCUCGAAGGAACUCUUGCUGAAUUUGGCUAAACCAUCGGGGAUUUCCCCACUUAACUUAUUGUUUGACACAUUGAAUGAUGUCAAUUUUGAUUGCAUUACAGGUGGAAUAGCCCCACUGAACUGAUUAUCUUCAAGAUGCAAUUCAAUAAGAUUGGAUAAGUGAAUGACUGAUGGUGGAAUUUUUCCCGAAAACUUGUUAUUCGCAAGCCAAACUUUCUUCAAGGACUGCAUUUUCGAGAAGAACUCUGCUUGGAUCUCGCCCGAGAAUUGGUUUCCUGUCAAGUAUAUAUUCUUCAAAUAACCUAAACGAUUGAAUUCAGGAAUCGAACCCGAAAAAGAAUUAUGUUCAAAGCUUACACUUCUGAGUCCCGAAAUAUCAACCAAUGCAUCAACAUCAAUUUUUCCCGAUAAACCCAUAUUCUCAAGGCGAAGACCCAUGACAUUGCCAUUGCUACAAAGAAGUCCUUUCCACUGAGCGUCUCCUCCACAAGGAGCUGAUCCAGGUACCCAAGAACUAAGAGCACUUGCGUUGGUAAAAGAAUUCUUUAGCUUAAUCAAGGUUUCAGAAUCGGAUUUCGAUGACGUAGAAGUAAAUUGGAGUAUGAAAAUCAAGAUGAACACAAGAAAAACUGGCCGGAGAAGCCAAUCCAAAGCCAUAACUUGGGUGGAAACAAAUGAGAGAUUUUCCUUGGGCUGUAAAAUUUUUUGUGGCUUUUUGUUGUUCUCGCAGGUUUUGCGCUUCUUGUGUCGAUUUUCGUUGGUGUGUUCAUGGUGUUUGUUUUGAGUAAGUGCAAGAGAGCCU